Molecule: ribosomal RNA, 502 nt
Filed under: uncultured Prochloron sp.
Lineage: Bacteria; Bacillati; Cyanobacteriota; Cyanophyceae; Chroococcales; Prochloraceae
Description: bacterial SSU rRNA
Rfam family: Bacterial small subunit ribosomal RNA
Source: RNAcentral
GCUGGUCUGAGAGGANGAGCAGCCACACUGGGACUGAGACACGGCCCAGACUCCUACGGGAGGCAGCAGUGGGGGAUUUUCCGCAAUGGGCGCAAGCCUGACGGAGCAAUACCGCGUGAGGGAGGAAGGCUUUUGGGUNGUAAACCUCUUUUGUCAGGGAAGAAGAAUUGACGGUACCUGAAGAAAAAGCAUCGGCUAACUCCGUGCCAGCAGCCGCGGUAAUACGGAGGAUGCAAGCGUUAUCCGGAAUCAUNGGGCGUAAAGGGUCCGCAGGUGGCGAAUAAAGUCUGCUGUUAAAGACCGGGGCUUAACUCCGGAAAGGCAGUGGAAACUGAUUAGCUAGAGUACGGUAGGGGUAGAGGGAAUUCCCAGUGUAGCGGUGAAAUGCGUAGAUAUUGGGAAGAACACCGGUGGCGAAAGCGCUCUACUAGGCCGAAACUGACACUGAGGGACGAAAGCUAGGGUAGCGAAAGGGAUUAGAUACCCCUGUAGUCUUAGCGGU